Molecule: ribosomal RNA, 468 nt
Filed under: uncultured bacterium
Lineage: Bacteria
Description: partial 16S ribosomal RNA
Rfam family: Bacterial small subunit ribosomal RNA
Source: RNAcentral
GAUGAACGCUGGCGGCGUGCCUAACACAUGCAAGUCGAGCGAUCUUCUUCGGAAGAGAGCGGCGGACGGGUGAGUAACGCGUGGGUAACCUGCCCUGUACACACGGAUAACAUACCGAAAGGUAUGCUAAUACGAGAUAAUAUACUUUUAUCGCAUGGUAGAAGUAUCAAAGCUCCGGCGGUACAGGAUGGACCCGCGUCUGAUUAGCUAGUUGGUAAGGUAACGGCUUACCAAGGCGACGAUCAGUAGCCGACCUGAGAGGGUGAUCGGCCACAUUGGAACUGAGACACGGUCCAAACUCCUACGGGAGGCAGCAGUGGGGAAUAUUGCACAAUGGGCGAAAGCCUGAUGCAGCAACGCCGCGUGAGCGAUGAAGGCCUUCGGGUCGUGAAGCUCUGUCCUCAAGGAAGAUAAUGACGGUACUUGAGGAGGAAGCCCCGGCUAACUACGUGCCAGCCGCCGCAGUAA